GACGAACGCUGGCGGCGUGCUUAACACAUGCAAGUCGAACGGUAAGGCCCCUUCUGGGGUACACGCUUGGCGAACGGGUGAGUAACUCGUGCGCAACCUGCCCUUGCCUUUGUGUUACCUGCUGGCAACAGCUGCUAAUACCUGCUAUGUCCUCUUCUCUCCUGGGUUGUGGUGGUAAGCUCCGGCGGUCGGGGAUGGGCUCGCGGCCUAUCAGCUUGUUGGUGAGGUAAUGGCUCACCAAGGCUUCGACGGGUAGCCGGCCUGAGAGGGCGACCGGCCACACUGGGACUGAGAUACGGCCCAGACUCCUACGGGAGGCAGCAGUGGGGAAUAUUGCACAAUGGGCGGAAGCCUGAUGCAGCAACGCCGCGUGCGGGAUGACGGCCUUCGGGUUGUAAACCGCUUUCAGUAGGGACGAAGCGAACGUGACGGUAACGACAGAAGAAGGACCGGCUAACUACGUG
RNAcentral lists this ribosomal RNA (464 nucleotides) under uncultured bacterium. RNAcentral's name for it is "partial 16S ribosomal RNA". It matches the Rfam family "Bacterial small subunit ribosomal RNA", at positions 28 to 507 of the family's 1533-position model. The record is from RNAcentral.